UACGGAGGAUGCGAGCGUUAUCCGGAUUUAUUGGGUUUAAAGGGUGCGCAGGCGGUCUGUUAAGUCAGCGGUCAAAGCCCGGGGCUCAACCCCGGCCCGCCGUUGAAACUGGCAGUCUCGAGUUGGAGAGAAGUAUGCGGAAUGCGCGGUGUAGCGGUGAAAUGCAUAGAUAUCACGCAGAACUCCGAUUGCGAAGGCAGCAUACCGGCGCCCAACUGGCGCUCAGGCACGAAAGCGUGGGUAUCGAACAGG
Molecule: ribosomal RNA, 252 nt
Filed under: uncultured bacterium
Lineage: Bacteria
Description: partial 16S ribosomal RNA
Rfam family: Bacterial small subunit ribosomal RNA
Source: RNAcentral